GACGAACGCUGGCGGCGUGCUUAACACAUGCAAGUCGAACGGAAAGGCCUGCUUUCCCUUGUGGAUUGCGGGUGCUCGAGUGGCGAACGGGUGAGUAACACGUGAGUGAUCUGCCCCCAACUUGGGUAUAAGCCUGGGAAACUGGGUCUAAUUCCCGAUAGGACUGCAGGGUGGUGCCUGUGGUGGAAAACGAUUUUCUAGUGGUUGGGGAUGAGCUCGCGGCCUAUCAGCUUGUUGGUGGGGUAAUGGCCUACCAAGGCGGCGACGGGUAGCCGGCCUGGGAGGGUGGACGGCCACAUUGGGACUGAGAUACGGCCCAGACUCCUACGGGAGGCAGCAGUGGGGAAUAUUGCACAAUGGGCGGAAGCCUGAUGCAGCGACGCCGCGUGGGGGAUGACGGCCUUCGGGUUGUAAACUCCUUUCGACCGCGAGGAAGCCACCUGGUUGGAAGGGUGGUGACGGUAGUGGUAGAAGAAACACCGGCUAACUACGU
Molecule: ribosomal RNA, 493 nt
Filed under: uncultured bacterium
Lineage: Bacteria
Description: partial 16S ribosomal RNA
Rfam family: Bacterial small subunit ribosomal RNA
Source: RNAcentral